UUCUGGGGUGUGUCGCCUG
RNAcentral lists this microRNA (19 nucleotides) under Eptesicus fuscus (big brown bat). RNAcentral describes it as "efu-miR-9223e". The record is from miRBase by way of RNAcentral. Lineage: Eukaryota; Metazoa; Chordata; Mammalia; Chiroptera; Vespertilionidae.